AUUGAACGCUGGCGGCAGGCCUAACACAUGCAAGUCGAGCGGCUGAAGGGUGAUUGCUCGUUGUUUCAGGGGCGGACGGGCGGGUAAUUGCUAGGAACAUGGGAGGCUGCGGUGUCUAACGGCCGAAAGCGGGGGCUCUUACCCCAUUAGCGCAUACGGACUACGGGUGAAAGCAUGGGACCUUCGGACAUUGCGCGAUUCGAGGUCGGAUUAGCUAGUUGGUGGGGUAACGGCCUACCAAGGCGACGAUCCGUAACUGGUCUGAGAGGAUGAUCAGCCACACUGGAACUGAGACACGGUCCAGACUCCUACGGGAGGCAGCAGUGGGGAAUAUUGGACAAUGGGCGCAAGCCUGAUCCAGCCAUACCGCGUGUGUGAAGAAGGUCUUCGGGUUGUAAAGCACUUUAGGUUGGAAAGAAAAGCAGUAAGUUAAUACCUUGCUGUUUUGACGUUACCCACAGAAUAAGCACCGGCUAACUUCGUG
Molecule: ribosomal RNA, 484 nt
Filed under: uncultured bacterium
Lineage: Bacteria
Description: partial 16S ribosomal RNA
Rfam family: Bacterial small subunit ribosomal RNA
Source: RNAcentral